This is a long non-coding RNA of Esox lucius (northern pike), 616 nucleotides long. The record is from Ensembl. Lineage: Eukaryota; Metazoa; Chordata; Actinopteri; Esociformes; Esocidae.
CUGCAUUCACCUGUUGCAGACUGUCCAUCCAUUAUCUUUCGGGCCAUUGUUCUUAUCCACGAAUUCCCCAAAUAAUUCCAUAACAGUCACUGUGCACAACGCAGCGUAGGAAUUUCACGGCGGCCACGGCCGUCGUUGCCCUUCGCUCUGGCCGUGAUGCCCCUCAAAUCAUUGUACUCCCUACACGGCCAACAUGGCCUUUGUGCCCAUGCCACAGUGAAAAACUCGCGGUCAGCAGUUUGUUCGAAAGUUUGUUUGUAGUUCGCAAUUGAGAACAGCCACAAGAACCGACUACUUCCAGAAAUUACUCUGAAACAACAUGAGGGCAACUGCUGCUUCAGAAAGAUGUCAAACUACGAAGACACUGAGCCCAGACACAGACAGCUGCACACGGAGCAAAAAGACCACAGCUCGGUGUUGGGCGACAUGCUUUUGCACUUCCAGUUCCAGCCUCCUAUCAGGCUGCCCGGGUGGACAUGGAGAGGAGAGGCUGAUCAGCCCAGAGCCGAGGCGACAGCCUGCCAAACAGCAGCCGUGCUGCAGCCCCUUAGUUCUGAUAGCACCAGGCAUGCUGCCCCAUUGACACAUGGGCCAAGCACGCUUUAAUGAAUAAAUA